RNAcentral lists this ribosomal RNA (422 nucleotides) under uncultured bacterium. RNAcentral's name for it is "partial 16S ribosomal RNA". It matches the Rfam family "Bacterial small subunit ribosomal RNA", at positions 362 to 776 of the family's 1533-position model. The record is from RNAcentral.
UUUUGGACAAUGAGCGCAAGCCUUAUCCAGCCAUCCUGCGUAAGUGAUGAAGGCCUUCUGCUUUUAAUCCCCUUUCUGACGGAAAGAAAUCGCGCAGGCUAUUACCCUGCGCGUAUGACGGUACCGUCAUCAGAAGCACCUGCUAACUACUUGCUAUCACCAGCGGUAAUACGUAGGGUGCGAGCGUUAAUCGGAAUUACUGGGCGUAAAGCGUGCGCAGGCGGUUGAUUAAGACAGGCGUGAAAUCCCCGGGAUUAACAUGGGAAAUGCGCUUGUGACUGGUCAGCAAGAGUACGGCAGAGGGGGGUGGAAUUCCACGUGUAGCAGUGAAAUGCGUAGAGAUGUGGAGGAACACCGAUGGCGAAGGCAGCCCCCUGGGCCGAUACUGACGCUCAUGCACGAAAGCGUGGGUAGCAAACAGG